Molecule: long non-coding RNA, 737 nt
Filed under: Homo sapiens (human)
Lineage: Eukaryota; Metazoa; Chordata; Mammalia; Primates; Hominidae
Source: RNAcentral
AGGUGGAUAAUUACUGUACCUUCCUCAUGGAAAAAGUUUUAUUUAAAGUGUUAUUUCUCAUUGAAUACUAUCAAAAAGGAAAAAAAAAUGACCUAAACUUUUGAGAUAGAUUUGGCUCUAGUGUAAAUUUUGAUACCACCAUUGCCGCCUUCCCCUCAAAAAAGGUGAGAACUGACUAAACUACUGGUACUUAGACCAUGUGGAGAAGGAACUGAAAAUGGAAACAGAAACACGUCUGUACAGAGCAGAGUGUCAGAUAAUAGCUCAUUUUAGUAGAGGGCAAUAAAUGCCACAUGAGAUGAUCACCUCAGCAGAAAACUGGGAUGUGGAGACGCUGGUAGCGGGGCCAGGAAGGCUCCGGACGGAGCAGGUUUUCUGGACCACAGACACACUGCCCCGGCGCCCUCCGCAGGCCGCUCCUCCCCAGGCCCAUGACAGUGCCCCGCUGGUUUCUGCCGCGCUGCCGGACUGGAGCUCAGACGGCCUUCGCCAGCCCCCCCAACCCACGCAGAUCCCUGCUGACCUGGGCAACUCCCCACCCUCGCUGAAGGUUCGAGGACCACCCCGCUUUCCCGAGAGGAGCCGGGCGGCGGGUACUUAUCUCCGACCUCCGGCUAGUGGGAAAGGCCGCGCGACCGCCCGUCCUCCAACUACAGGGACCGCACGGUACGCGCCAAGCACAGCCCCAAAAUGGACUCGCGGCUCCGGCUAGCUCCGCCCCCUUCCCUCUCCCGCUU